AUAUGCUGUUUGUGAUCCAAUCACUCUUCUUAUGGAGGACAAUUUGACGCACCCAGAAAGUCCAGACUAUGACAAGAUCAUUAAUGACUAUCUAGCGGAUGGUGAGGAUGGGUCAAGUGAGGAUGAUGAAGUUGGAGCAAAAAAGGAUGAGCCAAAAAUAGAGAACACAACAGCGGCAAAAGAAAUCCCAGACCAACAAAAUGACAAGACCAGUGUUGCAGGCCCAAGCAAUUGGAAACGAAGUAAAAAGGAACUGAAGAAAUCGGAGGGAGCCAAAACAGCUACAACCCUGGACGAAGAAAUAAAUGGGAAACAAACCCGAAAACUCGGAAUGUGCUGUUUGUGAUCCAAUCACUCUUCUUAUGGAGGAUAAUUUGAAGCACCCAGAAAGUCCAGACUAUGAUAAGAUCAUUAAUGAGUAUCUAGCGGAUGGUGAGGAUGGGUCAAGUGAGGGUGAUGAAGAGGAAGCUGGAGCAAAAAAGGAUGAGCCUCAAGAGAAAACAACAGCGGCAAAAGAAAUGCAACAAAAGGAUGAGACCAAUACUGCAGGCCUAAGCAAUUGGAAAAAGAGGAAGACUAGAAAGAGAGAGAGGGAACAAGCGAAG
Long non-coding RNA from Daphnia pulex (common water flea), 605 nucleotides. RefSeq lists it as uncharacterized. Lineage: Eukaryota; Metazoa; Arthropoda; Branchiopoda; Diplostraca; Daphniidae. The record is from RefSeq and is a predicted model, not a curated record. The transcript has 3 exons.